CUUCUCCCAUCUGUUGUACACUGAGUCUAAUGCAUGCUGGACAAGACUUUGAGGGACUGCUGUGUACACAUUCCACAAGCAGAAGGAGUAACGUUCAGUUUUGGUACUACAUGUUCAAGUCUCAGUGCCUGAGCUUACAGAGAACCAUGAGGUAUUACACAGCUUUCUGGCCAGAAAAUACCGGCAUUUUCUGCAUUUACUGAGGAGGAGAAAGUAUUGCCCAGAGGAUAAAUGAAGCCUGACAGCCUUUUCUGCCUUAUUUUCUGCUGGAAAUUCAAGGCAGCUGGAUGCAAUGCUGGCCAUCUCUCUCUUUUGUGUACUGCUGGCUGUGGAUGCUGGCACACCUUAACCAUGUUAGCCUGCUGGGCUAUUCAACACAGGCAGACCUUUGGCUUGAAUGCUGAUAAGCCUCGUGAUUCAGGACGAGUGCAUGCGUGACUGCUACAGCACAGGAAUAAGUAGGGAGAGGUGGUGGGUGACAUAUCCUUUCCAGUCCUAACCAUCUCAUGCAGUGGCUGUGAACAGCUUCAGCUUUUCUGGGCACAGGAAAUGCUCUCUCCCGGUGAGAAUACGUCACGGCACUGGAAUGACAAGCAAACCACUGUAUGCACUUAAUCGACAAAGCUGUUGUGAGGUAUAAUAAAUGAUGCAUGCAUACACGCAUGUACUGUGAACCAAAUGUCAUGUUGAAGUGAGUUACUGGUAGCAGUGGGAAGAGAACUGAGGAGUACCUGGCACUCAGCUCUGCACUCAGUGUGUGCACAUGUGCAUGCACACACACUCAAAU
Molecule: long non-coding RNA, 787 nt
Organism: Alligator sinensis (Chinese alligator)
Lineage: Eukaryota; Metazoa; Chordata; Crocodylia; Alligatoridae
Exons: 3
Source: RefSeq, a predicted model, not a curated record